RNAcentral lists this ribosomal RNA (495 nucleotides) under uncultured bacterium. RNAcentral's name for it is "partial 16S ribosomal RNA". It matches the Rfam family "Bacterial small subunit ribosomal RNA", at positions 28 to 507 of the family's 1533-position model. The record is from RNAcentral.
GACGAACGCUGGCGGCGUGCCUAAUACAUGCAAGUCGAACGCUGAAGGAGGAGCUUGCUUCUCUGGAUGAGUUGCGAACGGGUGAGUAACGCGUAGGUAACCUGCCUGGUAGCGGGAGAUAACUAUUGGAAACGAUAGCUAAUACCGCAUAAGAGUAGAUGUUGCAUGACAUUUGCUUAAAAGGUGCAAUUGCAUCACUACCAGAUGGACCUGCGUUGUAUUAGCUAGUUGGUGGGGUAACGGCUCACCAAGGCGACGAUACAUAGCCGACCUGAGAGGGUGAUCGGCCACACUGGGACUGAGACACGGCCCAGACUCCUACGGGAGGCAGCAGUAGGGAAUCUUCGGCAAUGGACGGAAGUCUGACCGAGCAACGCCGCGUGAGUGAAGAAGGUUUUCGGAUCGUAAAGCUCUGUUGUAAGAGAAGAACGAGUGUGAGAGUGGAAAGUUCACACUGUGACGGUAGCUUACCAGAAAGGGACGGCUAACUACGUG